CACCCAACUUUGAGAUCUUACAUUUUAGUCCGAUUAUGUAAGUUUGGCGUAAUUAUAAGUCCAAAGUUAUUGCUAACUACUAGAGAGGAACAUAAUGGAAAAGCUAAAAAGGAUCAUCGAACUUACGAGAUUCUAAUUUAAAAUAAUUGUAAUUUAUAUGUCGGAAGAAAUGAUGUGUUCUUUUAUACUUUCUAUUCUUUCUUUUUCCCUCUUUUCAACUCAGAGAAGGAUGUCGACCAUAAUAGUUUAUGUAUGUUAGUAAUCUUGAACAUGAUUGAGGAAAGCUAUGGAACUGAAAGGUCUUGGUUUGGAUGAUCAAAGUGGACUUAAUAAAUACUGUAAUGUUUAUGAUGUUAUUUCCUACUGUUGGAUAAACCAUCUUUGUGCUCAAAGUAUCAAUUGCUAAGAGAUGGUUACUAUACUUGAGUCUCUGUAUUUAUUAGGGUUUAUUUUUAGUAAUUUAGAUUGUGGGAG
This 474-nucleotide long non-coding RNA is filed under the name Nicotiana benthamiana. RNAcentral's name for it is "long non-coding RNA (NBEN_LNC025338)". Lineage: Eukaryota; Viridiplantae; Streptophyta; Magnoliopsida; Solanales; Solanaceae. The record is from RNAcentral.